CAUCAAAAUGAGAAGGGACAGGAUGCUGAGCAUUUUCUGUGAGGGCUCUGCAUCUUAGCAAUUAAAAAACUGGAUCUGUAAUCUCAUUCAGUUACCUCACCAAUAAGACAAGAUAUUUUUUUUGUCUUAGGUUUAUUUUUACUGAGUGAUAGAGGACAGCAGGAUGUCAGUGAGGGAAAUGGAAGGCACCUGCUUGGCAUUCAGUGCCUGAUAGUUUCUAAUGCUGCGGGUUGGAAAAGCUUAAUGUAGAAUUUGCUUUAAAAGAAAGAGGGGAAAAAACAGUUAAUAAAUCAAAAGAGAUAUGUGGCUGUGGUGCACGGAUCCUUGAGAUCUGGCAUUUAGAGAACCAGCAGUGGAUUUGGCACCCAAGGACAAGCAGCACUACUCCUGCCUCCAUAGCAGCUCUCAGCAAAUCCUCCCUGCCAUAUCCAGCACAACCUUCCCAGUCACAAGUUGUCCUUGGGAUGACCCAUAGGACUUUUCCAGCUACUGAAGUCCUCCUCUCUUCCGCCUAUUCCCUCAGAACGCAUCAGUUUUCUAUUUUAAAAAUAUCAAGUCACCCUAUCUCAGCUGCAUUAUAAAAAAGACAAACAAAACAACCCAAAACAGUUUUGUGUGUGCGGAGCAAGAAAAAAAAAACACUUCAAACCCGAAGAAGUUUCCAAUAAGUCACUCAUUGAAAUUCAGGAAGAAAAAACCCCAAAGGGUAAAAAUACCCCCACGUAUCCAAGUUCUCUGAGGCCAUUUCUUUCCCUCAUCUGUGUUCCAUCAUCUUCUUCCUUAUCCAAAAAAGUUGUGGUGUCCGUGGGAGUAUGAAAAAACAUUGGUGUGACCACGGAAAGGAACUCUGUGUCUGGCAGCAGAAAGCCACGCGUUAUCCCGUCUCCAGGAACUCAGCCUUCCUUCGAUGGUCAUAAAUAUUCUCUGAUGACAAAGCAGAGGGUAGUCAUUCAACCAGACUGAAUAAUACUGCACAACCCUGAAAAGCACACUGGGAUCUGUGUUCUGUCCCCAGCCACAACAAAAGCUGAGGAAACAACCCGACUGGCCUCAUGUGUAGGACACCCUGUGCUGUCACAUCCACGUUCAGGAGGAUUCAGGCAGGAGUGCUGGACUUCCCCCUCUCAGAGGUCUCAAUGCACCUGGUGGCCAUAAAAUUUGUCUGAGGACAGUGUCAUCCACAGUAGCCCUUGGUGAAGGACUUUACAAAACAUUCAGACACAAGUUUUUUGAAGGGAGGGGGAAAAAAACCACUCGUUACACCAUUAACUUUACACUACACUGUGUAAUCAAAGAUCUCCUAACUUUCAAGACAGUGUUACUUGACAUCUUGUUGCAUAAAUAUUUUUUGCCUGUGCAAGCAAAUCUGGGAAUUAUCAGUAACGUAUGCCAUAGUCUUGCCAAAGUUAUUGAUGAGAAAACGAUCUUCAUGACCAACCUUCCCCUAACCAGAAGAAAAAAAAAAGACUUAAAUGUAAGCCACUCUCUUCUGCUGGCCUCCCUUUUCCCCCCCCAAACCCCAAAUUAAUAAAUUUAGAGUGAAUAAACAAAUAAUCACUUUAAGCUUACCCACACCCCUUCUCCUUUUAGGGUAGCCUUAUAAAUUAAAUUUAAUCUUACCCUUCAAGGUAGAAACAGGUAAUAAAACUAACCUGUUUAUUAGGCAGUGUAGUUUGAGAAUUAUACUCGCAUUUCUGCAUUUGAGAACGUGAGGGAUUGUUGACACAAUGGAGGCCAAGCAUGCAUUUAUGGUGCAUGAUAUCACCAUGGGGCUCACAGAGGCAGUUUACUUAUUCCACAGAUGACUGCCACAAGAGAAUGUAAUUGCUCAAUAAUGUGUCAAUGUACCCAUGGGAAGCAUUUAAGUCAUCUGAGACCUGUAUUGGGAACUUGCCAGGGACCCUAGCACUACCUCUAAUUUGCACGAAAUGGAGGAAUUGUGGCCAUCUUCUACAGUAAGGAUAAACAGAACAAGGGAGGAAGCUGGGAUGAGUCAAAAAGGUACCUCUUUCUCAGAAAACUGAACAAAACUGGAAGAGGAAAAACUGUUCCCCAGAUUCAGGAAAUAAAAGCUGUUAACAAACUUCUAAGCAGGCGAGUCAACAUCAGUGUGGUAUACUCCAGCACAUGAGAUGAUCUGCACUGGGGAGAAAUUACCUCACCAAGAACUAAAGCCUCCGAAAUAGAUCUAACACCAGACUGAAAAGCUAUUUAUAGACAAUGAAAUCCUCAUCUCCACCAUGGCUUUAUUUUUUAAGUAAUAAAUCAAGUUAAAGCGAAACAUCCAAGUGAUUGGAUAUUAGUGUGACACAAAUAACAAUUAAAACUCUCUGAACAUUGCAAAUCAAGUACCAUUGUGUAAGAUCAGAUUAAUAAAUCACAGUCUUUUCCAUACUUCUCAAGAAUUAAAGGGUCACAGGAUGAGAUCCAACUUCAUGGAUACGUACUUUUAUGCAUGUAACUACUUCCAUUGAUUUUGAGAAUGCUACCCAUAUGCUUUAGUUCGGGUUCAUAAAAAUAUCUGGGUGAGCCAAAGCCUUCGUAACGACAUCAUCACUGGAAGUUUUGGGAAACUUUUCAAGCCAAUGGAAAUUGAUAUCCCUCCAAUAAGACCCACAACAAUGUAACGAGACCCUGCAGCUAAAGUGAGAAUGAUUAGAGUCUGCAGUGGCUCAAACAAAACAGGAAUUAACAGCCUUUCCCAGCAUCCUACUGGAGAAUCUUUCAUGAACUUUGAAAUGGUUUACAGGAUGUUUUCUGUUCACCUUUCUUCAAGACACAGCUCAGAAGAACCUGUCCCCUUUUAGCUCAAAUGGGUUCAGUCCUCAAUCCCACAAUGAGUCAAAGGAUCUGACUGAAGGACAUGCACUGUGCCAUGCCAUGAUGCUCAGCUCAGGGCCCACAUAUGGCCUACUCCAUAUAAAAAAAAUAAAAAAA
RNAcentral lists this long non-coding RNA (2937 nucleotides) under Taeniopygia guttata (zebra finch). RNAcentral's name for it is "lncRNA (ENSTGUG00000028136.1)". The record is from RNAcentral. Lineage: Eukaryota; Metazoa; Chordata; Aves; Passeriformes; Estrildidae.